UACGUAGGGUGCAAGCGUUUGUCCGGAAUUAUUGGGCGUAAAGAGCUCGUAGGCGGUUUGUUGCGUCGGCUGUGAAAUCCCGAGGCUCAACCUCGGGUCUGCAGUCGAUACGAGCAAACUAGAGUGUUGCAGGGGAGACUGGAAUUCCUGGUGUAGCGGUGAAAUGCGCAGAUAUCAGGAGGAACACCGGUGGCGAAGGCGGGUCUCUGGGCAACAACUGACGCUGAGGAGCGAAAAGCGUGGGGGAGCGAACAGG
This 256-nucleotide ribosomal RNA is filed under the name uncultured bacterium. RNAcentral's name for it is "partial 16S ribosomal RNA". It matches the Rfam family "Bacterial small subunit ribosomal RNA", at positions 524 to 776 of the family's 1533-position model. The record is from RNAcentral.